RNAcentral lists this small RNA (923 nucleotides) under Histoplasma ohiense. Its description in RNAcentral is "hypothetical lncRNA". The record is from RNAcentral. Lineage: Eukaryota; Fungi; Ascomycota; Eurotiomycetes; Onygenales; Ajellomycetaceae.
ACUGCUGCUAAUCUAUCGCCGCUGCUAAGCUAUCCCUCGCUGCUAAGCUAUUUAUCGCUGCCAAUCUAUCCCUCGCUGCUAAGCUAUCACCGCUGCCAACCUAUCUAUUGCUGCUAAGCUAUCCCUCACUGCUAAGCUAUCCCUCGCUGCUAAGCUAUCCCUCGCUGCUAAGCUAUCCCUCGCUGCUAAGCUAUCCCUCGCUGCUAAGCUAUCCCUCGCUGGCUAUCCCUCACUGCUAAGCUAUCGCCGCUGCCAACCUAUCUAUUGCUGCAAGCUAUCCCUCGCUGCUAAGCUAUCCCUCCCUGCUAAGCUAUCCCUCGCUGCUAAGCUAUCCCUCGCUGCUAUUCUAUCUAUCGCUGCUAAGCUAUCUAUCACUGCUAAGCUAGCUAUCGCUGCCAAUCUAUAUAGGGUAAAUCAUGGCCCCGUUUGGUCCCAUUUUGUAAAAUGGGACUACAAAAUGGGACCAAAUGGGAUCAGAACUGAUAAUUUAUAACUAAAACAUGAUCUGGGACUAGAAUUAUAAUAUAAAUCAUGAUUCAUAUAAAAUGACUGAUUUCAUAAACACUAUAUGGGACCAGGACUAAGAUAUUUGAGAAUGGGACUGAGGAAAAAUUUGGUCCUGGUCCCAAUGUCCCAUGCAUGGUCACACAGCCAGUCUAUCAGAAUCACUACUCCGUACCUACUACUCAAUCAAAUCUGAAUCUAAAUCAUCAGCAAAUUUCUCUGCCAUCUUAUCAAACUUAUGCCUGAUGUCAGUAUAAAAGAAAGAGAGAAGAAGAGAAUAAAGAAAAAGCUCCAAGAUCAAGAUAUGAUUGUGCAGCAUGUAGCAAUAUUGCUCUCUGCUUGAAGAGAGGAUGUUGGAAGAAGUUCCAUUCUAAUAAUAUUAAUUAGAGCUAGAUCAAAUAGAUUAUAUAAAUUACACC